UACGUAGGGUGCAAGCGUUGUCCGGAAUUAUUGGGCGUAAAGAGCUCGUAGGCGGUCUGUCGCGUCUGCUGUGAAAACUCGGGGCUUAACCCCGGGCCUGCAGUGGGUACGGGCAGACUAGAGUGCGGUAGGGGAGACUGGAAUUCCUAGUGUAGCGGUGAAAUGCAUAGAUAUUAGGAGGAACACCAGUGGCGAAGGCGAGUCUCUGGCACGCAUCUGACGCUGAAACACGAAAGCCAGGGGAGCGAACGGG
RNAcentral lists this ribosomal RNA (253 nucleotides) under uncultured bacterium. RNAcentral describes it as "partial 16S ribosomal RNA". It matches the Rfam family "Bacterial small subunit ribosomal RNA", at positions 524 to 776 of the family's 1533-position model. The record is from RNAcentral.